Molecule: non-coding RNA, 612 nt
Organism: Pelobates cultripes (western spadefoot toad)
Lineage: Eukaryota; Metazoa; Chordata; Amphibia; Anura; Pelobatidae
Source: the annotation of a GenBank genome assembly
CCAGAUAUUGUUACCUAUAUGAACAGGGGGAGCAUUCAUAUCCCGAAAUGAAGAGAUUCCCUUACAUGGGGUUCGCACAGGAACCUCACGAACAGAGACCGGCCAGGACACCUAUUUUCCUGGAACUUUUUAAGACUGGCGUCUGGUGUCUGGCCGGUCAACACUUUACCUCGAUGGCACUCCCGUUUCACCAAACCAAUCUGAGUGAUCUUUGGAUAUGAUCGGGGCUAUCAGGGGGAAGUACAUUUUUAUGUGGCACUUUUGGGGAACUAUAUAUUUCGUUGGAUUUUUUGUACCUGAGAGAAAAUUAGAUUAGUGUUUUAUUUUUCUCAUGCAAUUAUCUCUCAGGCACAGAGGAUCCUGGGAUUGAAACCCCUGUUUUAGUGCAUUGUAAACCCCAUUUAGGGGACUGGGCAUAAAAGCCCUGUGUGGUCUGAAUAAACUCAGUUGACUCCCAGAACUAUGUUUCAUCUUGUUACUGGCGGAAUUGAUAUCUACUUGUGUUAAUGGUUCCAGAGUGGCUGAAGGAAGGAAUUAGCGGAGGUAAUUAGUCGGGUUACCCGUGGUUCGAGUAGAGGCAUGCAGGUGGAUUUAACCUUUUUUAUUAAUAUG